RNAcentral lists this ribosomal RNA (450 nucleotides) under uncultured bacterium. Its description in RNAcentral is "partial 16S ribosomal RNA". It matches the Rfam family "Bacterial small subunit ribosomal RNA", at positions 354 to 796 of the family's 1533-position model. The record is from RNAcentral.
GUGAGGAAUAUUGCGCAAUGGAGGCAACUCUGACGCAGCCAUGCCGCGUGCAGGAAGAAGGCCUUCGGGUUGUAAACUGCUUUUGUACGGAACGAAACGGUCCGGGUUAAUACCCUGGGCUAAUGACGGUACCGUAAGAAUAAGCACCGGCUAACUACGUGCCAGCAGCCGCGGUAAUACGUAGGGUGCAAGCGUUAAUCGGAAUUACUGGGCGUAAAGCGUGCGCAGGCGGUUUUGUAAGACAGGCGUGAAAUCCCCGGGCUCAACCUGGGAAUUGCGCUUGUGACUGCAAGGCUGGAGUGCGGCAGAGGGGGAUGGAAUUCCGCGUGUAGCAGUGAAAUGCGUAGAUAUGCGGAGGAACACCGAUGGCGAAGGCAAUCCCCUGGGCCUGCACUGACGCUCAUGCACGAAAGCGUGGGGAGCAAACAGGAUUAGAUACCCCAGUAGUCC